UACAUGGGGUGCAAACGUUGCUCGGAAUUAUUGGGCGUAAAGCGCGCGUAGGCGGUUACUUAAGUCGGAUGUGAAAGCCCUCGGCUUAACUGAGGAAGUGCACCCGAAACUGAGUAGCUGGAGUACGAAAGAGGGUCGCGGAAUUCCCGGUGUAGAGGUGAAAUUCGUAGAUAUCGGGAGGAACACCGAUGGCGAAGGCAGCUUUCUGGCCCUUAACUGACGCUGAGGUGCGAAAGCGUGGGGAGCGAACGGG
Molecule: ribosomal RNA, 253 nt
Filed under: uncultured bacterium
Lineage: Bacteria
Description: partial 16S ribosomal RNA
Rfam family: Bacterial small subunit ribosomal RNA
Source: RNAcentral